GACGAACGCUGGCGGCGUGCUUAACACAUGCAAGUCGAACGGGCCUUGUCCCCUUUUUUUUUGGGGGUGGGGUUAGUGGCGAACGGGUGAGUAACACGUGAGUAACCUGCCCCUCACUUCUGGAUAACCGCUUGAAAGGGUGGCUAAUACGGGGUGUUCUGGCCUGCUCGCAUGGGUGGGUUUGGAAAGAUUCGACCGGUUUUGGUUGUUUUGGUGGGGGAUGGGCGCGCGGCCUAUCAGCUUGUUGGUGGGGUGAUGGCCUGCCAAGGCUUUGACGGGUAGCCGGCCUGAGAGGGUGGGCGGUCACACUGGGACUGAGACACGGCCCAGACUCCUACGGGAGGCAGCAGUGGGGAAUAUUGCACAAUGGGCGCAAGCCUGAUGCAGCGACGCCGCGUGAGGGAUGGAGGCCUUCGGGUUGUGAACCUCUUUCGCCAGUGAAGAAGGUCCUGCUCUUUGUGGUGGGGUUGACGGUAGCUGGGUUAAUGAAGCGCCGGCUAACUACGUG
RNAcentral lists this ribosomal RNA (508 nucleotides) under uncultured bacterium. RNAcentral describes it as "partial 16S ribosomal RNA". It matches the Rfam family "Bacterial small subunit ribosomal RNA", at positions 28 to 507 of the family's 1533-position model. The record is from RNAcentral.